This 488-nucleotide ribosomal RNA is filed under the name Granulicatella adiacens. RNAcentral describes it as "bacterial SSU rRNA". It matches the Rfam family "Bacterial small subunit ribosomal RNA", at positions 28 to 497 of the family's 1533-position model. Lineage: Bacteria; Bacillati; Bacillota; Bacilli; Lactobacillales; Carnobacteriaceae. The record is from RNAcentral.
GACGAACGCUGGCGGCGUGCCUAAUACAUGCAAGUCGAACGAGAGCGACCGGUGCUUGCACUGGUCAAUCUAGUGGCGAACGGGUGAGUAACACGUGGGUAACCUGCCCAUCAGAGGGGGAUAACAUUCGGAAACGGAUGCUAAAACCGCAUAGGUCUUCGAACCGCAUGGUUUGAAGAGGAAAAGAGGCGCAAGCUUCUGCUGAUGGAUGGACCCGCGGUGCAUUAGCUAGUUGGUGAGGUAACGGCUCACCAAGGCCGUGAUGCAUAGCCGACCUGAGAGGGUGAUCGGCCACAUUGGGACUGAGACACGGCCCAAACUCCUACGGGAGGCAGCAGUAGGGAAUCUUCCGCAAUGGACGCAAGUCUGACGGAGCAACGCCGCGUGAGUGAAGAAGGUUUUCGGAUCGUAAAACUCUGUUGUUAGAGAAGAACAAGUGCUAGAGUAACUGUUAGCGCCUUGACGGUAUCUAACCAGAAAGCCACGCA